GAGUUUGAUCCUGGCUCAGGAUGAACGCUAGCGGCAGGCUUAACACAUGCAAGUCGAGGGGUANUAGGAAAAAAGGCUGCUUUUCGCUGACGACCGGCGCACGGGUGCGUAACGCGUAUAGAAUCUACCUUUUACUAAGGGAUAGCCUUUAGAAAUGAAGAUUAAUACCUUAUAGUAUUGCAAAUUGGCAUCAAUUUGUAAUUAAAGAUUUAUUGGUAAAAGAUGACUAUGCGUUCUAUUAGUUAGUUGGUGAGGUAACGGCUCACCAAGACAGCGAUAGAUAGGGGUCCUGAGAGGGAGAUCCCCCACACUGGUACUGAGACACGGACCAGACUCCUACGGGAGGCAGCAGUGAGGAAUAUUGGGCAAUGGAGGCAACUCUGACCCAGCCAUGCCGCGUGCAGAAAGACGGCCCUAUGGGUUGUAAACUGCUUUUAUACAGGAAGAAACACUCCCUCGUGAGGGAGCUUGACGGUACUGUAAGAAUAAGCACCGGCUAACUCCGUGCCAGCAGCCGCGGUAAUACGGAGGGUGCAAGCGUUAUCCGGAAUCAUUGGGUUUAAAGGGUCCGCAGGCGGUCAAUUAAGUCAGAGGUGAAAUCCCAUAGCUUAACUAUGGAACUGCCUUUGAUACUGGUUGACUUGAGUUAUACGGAAGUAGAUAGAAUGUGUAGUGUAGCGGUGAAAUGCAUAGAGAUUACACAGAAUACCGAUUGCGAAGGCAGUCUACUACGUAUAUACUGACGCUCAUGGACGAAAGCGUGGGGAGCGAACGGAAUUAGAUACCCCGGUAGUCCACGCCGUAAACGAUGGACACUAGUUGUUGGGAUUUAUCUCAGUGACUAAGCGAAAGUGAUAAGUGUCCCACCUGGGGAGUACGGUCGCAAGAUUGAAACUCAAAGGAAUGACGG
RNAcentral lists this ribosomal RNA (910 nucleotides) under uncultured bacterium. RNAcentral describes it as "bacterial SSU rRNA". It matches the Rfam family "Bacterial small subunit ribosomal RNA", at positions 9 to 916 of the family's 1533-position model. The record is from RNAcentral.